UUCUCUGCUCCUUUUGGAAUCUCCGCCUGGUUCAGCCCACCUGCCUCCACUCCUGCCUCCACCAUGUCCAUCAGGGCGACCCAGAAGUCCUAGAAGGUGUCCAUCUCUGGCUGCCGGGGCUUCAGCAGCUGCUCCUACAUCAGCUCCUUGAGGUUCUCCUGAGUGGGUAGCAGCAGCUUCUGGGGUGGCCUGGGUGGAGGCUGUGAUGGGGCCAGAGGCAUGGGAGGCAUCACUGCCAUCAUGGUCAACCAGAGCCUUCUGAGCCCCCUUAAGCUGCAGGUGGACCCCAACAUCCAGGCCAUGUGCACCCAGGAGAAGGAGCAGAUCAAGACUGUCACAACAAGUUUGCCUCCUUCAUCGACAAGGUGCGGUUCCUAGAGCAGCAGAACAAGAUACUGGAGACCAAGUGGAGCCUCCUGCAGCUGCAGAAGACAACUUGAAGCAACAUGGACAACAUGUUCCAGAGCUACAUCAACAACCUUAGGUGGCAGCUGGAGACUCUGGGCCAGGAGAAGCUGAAGCUGGAGGCGGAGUUUGGCAACAUGCAGGGUCUGGUGGAGGACUUCAAGAACAAGGACAAGGAUGAGAUCAAUAAGCGUACAGAGAUGGAGAAUGAAUUUGUUCUCAUCAAGAAGGAUGUGGAUGAAGCUGACAUGAACAAGGCGGAGCUGGAGUCUCUCCUGGAAGGGCUGACUGAUGAGAUCCACUUCCUCAGGCAGCUGUAUGAAGAGGAGAUCCAGGAGCUGCAGUCCCCGAUCUCCAACAAGUCUGUGGUGCUGUCCAUGGACAACAGCCGCUCCUGGACAUGGACAGCAUCAUCGCUGAGAUCCAGGCGCAGUAUGAGGAGAUCGCCAACCGCAGCCGGGCUGAGGCUGACACCAUGUACCAGAUCAAGUGUGAGGAGCUGCAGAUGCAGGCUGGGAAGCACGGGGAUGACCUGUGGUGACUGAGAUCUCUGAGAGGAACUAGAACAUCAGCUGGCUCCAGGCUCAGAUUGAGGGCCUCAAAGGCCAGAGGGCUUCCCUGGAGGCUGCCAUCGCGGAUGCCAAGCAGCACAGGGAGCUGGCAUUAAGAAUGCCAACACCAAGCUGUCCAAUCUGGAGGCCGCCCUGCAGCGGGCCAAGCAGGACAUGGCCUGGUAGCUGCGUUGAGUACCAGGAGCUGAUGAACACCGACCUAGCUCUGCACACCGAGAGCGCCACCUACAGGAAGCUGCUGGAGGGCGAGGAGAGCCGUCUGGAGUCUGGGAUGCAGAACAUGAGUAUCCAUACGAGGACCACCAGUGCCUACGCAGGUGUGGGGGCCUCACAAGCCCCGGCCUAAGCUAUAGCCUGGACUCCAGCUUUGGCUCUGGUGUGGGCUCCAGCUCUUUCAGCCGCACCAGCUCUACCAGGGCCGUGGUUGUGAAGAAGAUAGAGACCCGCAAUGAGAAGCUUGUGUCCGAGUCCUCUGACAUUCUGCUCAAGUGAAGAGCCAUGCCUGCCCCUCCUGCGGCUGCUCCAGAGCCGGUGAGUGAACACAGGGAAUGGGAGACCUAUCUGUGACUCAGCCCUAGCCCUCAGCCCACCCACGGGGAAGUCCACUGCCUGGGGCACCCCCCUUGUACCUGCCUCCAGCUACAAAACAUUUUUCCCCCAAAUAAAACCUCAGCUAGCUCUGCCAAAAACAAACAAACAAACUACAUAUUGGAUACAGUGUACACUGCUUGGGUGAUGAGUGCAAUAAAGUCUCAGAAAUAACCACUAAAGAAUUCAUCCAUGUAACCAAAGACCACCUAUGCCCUAAAAACUAUUGGGAAAAAAAAUCCCAGUGGUUAAGGAUGAUGUUUUACAGACAUGUAAAUGUUAUGGGAAAUUAAUUUAAACAAUUCUAAACAAAACCCAAACUCCAGAGAGGCAUUGAAUCAGCUCUAGUCCUAGUCCUAUCUAAACUCCAGCGAAGUGGACCAGGGUUAGGCACUGGAUGUAGAGGCAGUCAAUACAUAUACAGGCUACUCAGUAACACAGGCUGGCCCCCAAAAUGGAGCUGGACUAACUGGAUUUUUGCUCUAGAUAUUUUGAAAUUUAGAACUCAUAAGAAAUG
Molecule: non-coding RNA, 2082 nt
Organism: Callithrix jacchus (white-tufted-ear marmoset)
Lineage: Eukaryota; Metazoa; Chordata; Mammalia; Primates; Cebidae
Source: RefSeq, a predicted model, not a curated record